UACGGAGGGGGCGAGCGUUAUUCGGAAUUAUUGGGCGUAAAGGGCGCGUAGGCGGCCUUGUAAGUCAAAGGUGAAAUCCCUCGGCUCAACUGAGGAACUGCCUUUGAAACUGCAAGGCUUGAGGCCGGGAGGGGGUAGCGGAAUUCCCAAUGUAGCGGUGAAAUGCGUAGAUAUCGGAAGGAACAUCAGUGGCGAAGGCGGCUCACUGGACCACAACUGACGCUGAGGCGCGAAAGCUAGGGGAGCAAACAGG
RNAcentral lists this ribosomal RNA (253 nucleotides) under uncultured bacterium. Its description in RNAcentral is "partial 16S ribosomal RNA". It matches the Rfam family "Bacterial small subunit ribosomal RNA", at positions 524 to 776 of the family's 1533-position model. The record is from RNAcentral.